GAUGAACGCUGGCGGCGUGCCUAAUACAUGCAAGUCGAGCGAACAGAUGAGGAGCUUGCUCCUCUGACGUUAGCGGCGGACGGGUGAGUAACACGUGGAUAACCUACCUAUAAGACUGGGAUAACUUCGGGAAACCGGAGCUAAUACCGGAUAAUAUAUUGAACCGCAUGGUUCAAUAGUGAAAGACGGUUUUGCUGUCACUUAUAGAUGGAUCCGCGCCGCAUUAGCUAGUUGGUAAGGUAACGGCUUACCAAGGCAACGAUGCGUAGCCGACCCGAGAGGGUGAUCGGCCACACUGGAACUGAGACACGGUCCAGACUCCUACGGGAGGCAGCAGUAGGGAAUCUUCCGCAAUGGGCGAAAGCUUGACGGAGCAACGCCGCGUGAGUGAUGAAGGUCUUCGGAUCGUAAAACUCUGUUAUUAGGGAAGAACAAAUGUGUAAGUAACUAUGCACGUCUUGACGGUACCUAAUCAGAAAGCCACGGCUAACUACGUG
This 497-nucleotide ribosomal RNA is filed under the name uncultured bacterium. RNAcentral's name for it is "partial 16S ribosomal RNA". It matches the Rfam family "Bacterial small subunit ribosomal RNA", at positions 28 to 507 of the family's 1533-position model. The record is from RNAcentral.